GUAAACAGUGAAUUCCGCUAAAAAAGUCAAUUGUGAAAAGUAAACUCCAAAUUCCGAUAAAAAGGUCAACUCUGAAUUGUGAUAAAAAAUCAUAAUUGCGAAAAGUAAACUCCAAAUUCCAAUAGUCUAAAUUGUGAAAAGUAUAUUCUGAAUUCCGAUAAAAAAGUCAGAAUUGCGAAACGUAAACUCUGAAUUCUGAUAAAAAAAGUCAUAAUUGCGCAAAGUAAACUUUGGAUUUCCGAUAAAAAGAAAGUAAACAGUGAAUUCCGCUAAAAAAGUCAAUUGUGAAAAGUAAACUCCAAAUUCCGAUAAAAAGGUCAACUCUGAAUUGUGAUAAAAAAUCAUAAUUGCGAAAAGUAAACUCCAAAUUCCAAUAGUCUAAAUUGUGAAAAGUACAUUUCGAAUUCCGAUUAAAAAAGUCAGAAUUGCGAAAAGUACACUCAGAAUUCUGAUAAAAAAAGUCAUAA
This is a long non-coding RNA of Labeo rohita (rohu), 467 nucleotides long. RefSeq lists it as uncharacterized. The record is from RefSeq and is a predicted model, not a curated record. The transcript has 2 exons. NCBI's taxonomy places the organism in Eukaryota, Metazoa, Chordata, Actinopteri, Cypriniformes, Cyprinidae.